Long non-coding RNA from Chinchilla lanigera (long-tailed chinchilla), 1128 nucleotides. RefSeq lists it as uncharacterized. NCBI's taxonomy places the organism in Eukaryota, Metazoa, Chordata, Mammalia, Rodentia, Chinchillidae. The transcript has 2 exons. The record is from RefSeq and is a predicted model, not a curated record.
ACAAAAUUAUGAAUUGAGCGGGUAAAAUGCAUAUCUUAUAGUUUAUGGCCAACAACUUUGAAAGCCAGUACUUUAGAGUGUGUUGCAGUGAGAUAACAGAGAAAUUUACCCAAUUUACAUCCAAAAUGCUGUACUGAAUUAUCACACCAUCAGUACUGAAAGAAAUUAAGGUUCUACUGCCAAAUAGGGAAAUACUUACAGGGAGAAACAAAGUAGGUGAUUUAAACAAAACAUAUAAAAGGAGCUGAAACCUGAGCACAGAAUAGGUUAGGGAUUUUGGCUCCCAUUAAACUUAAAAUCAAGAGUUUUCAUCUUCUGAAAGAUGCUGGAUGCCCAAGUAUACUUAAGAGAGAGAUGCCAAAUGCUGCUGCAGUCUGUCUGCCAGCGUCUAAGGGCAAAACCCUCUCAGAACACAGCUGAUAAUAUCAUACUGUGGCAUGCUCUCGGGCAUUUUGCCCCUUUAAUCGAGACUUAUCUUUCUCAAGGAACUAGGCGAUUGGGAGAUAAAUAUCCCUACGUUCAGUGGUAUUACAUAUUCAUGCCUUUCCUUCUCAGGACAGUCUGAUAAAGAAGUUAUUACUACUCAACUUUAAAGCUAUGUAAACACUCUAGAGGGUCAACUUUCCAGUGUCACAGAGCUCCUACAUAUAAAGGUUUAUUAUUUCAAUCUUUAGUUGGCACAGAACUUCUGGUUGGUACAUACUCCUUGGGAGUUUUUUUCAGUACUAAAUUGCUCCACGGACCACCAAUAUUUUUUGACCAUGGCCAGUGUAAUUCCAGGUUAAUCUCUGCCACUUCCAGCCACUGAUCCGUCUUCAGGCAAAUAAAAUGAGGCAUAUUACUUUCCAGAGACUACCCGCUCCUUGGCCAGGACGAGGUGACCGGUGAGCGGAAGUAGGGCGAGGACAGCGCGAUGGGAGACAGCGAGCCAGCACCUCCGAGACCCCGGCGCCGAGCCGGGCUGGGCGUCACCGCGCGGCUGCACCUGCCGAGAGGGAGCCGCGCGUCCGAUCCGCGUAGCGCCGACCCCGCCGCGGCCUGUCCCGCAGCCCCGCUCACCUCCUCGCUGUGCGUGGACGGGCACUUCUUCCGCAGGCGGCCCCAGUUGAGCAGGUUCCCGGUCUGCAG